Molecule: long non-coding RNA, 1007 nt
Organism: Vidua macroura (Pin-tailed whydah)
Lineage: Eukaryota; Metazoa; Chordata; Aves; Passeriformes; Viduidae
Exons: 4
Source: RefSeq, a predicted model, not a curated record
CGCGCCUCUCGUGUUCAAACGCCGCUGCUGCGCCGCGCAACCUCCGCUACGCGUGCGUGUCCCGCAGCGCGGCCGGCGCUGCCCCGCGGGGCGGAGCGAGCGGCGGCCGCGUAAUGCGGGAAGAGGGGCUCCAGCAGCGGAGGUGCGGGCAGGGCAGGUGCGGUUCGCAGCCCCGCGGAGGCUGCGGGCAGAGGGCUGGCGGCCAGAGCGCCCAGCGGCCUCGGCGGGGCGGACGGUGCUAUGGCCGGCACAGCGGAGGGUCCUCCCGCCGUGCAGCUCCGCGACACGCUGGAAGUCGCGGGGCUGCUCGGGCAGGCUGUAGGUUCACUGCACAACAGUGACAACGACGGCAACGCACCGACGGCCAGUGAGCUACCCCGGUUUCUCCGGGAUAGACAUGCAUAGUUUUGGAGAUUUAAACCAAAAACCAGGACAGGGUUUCCAUACGCUUGAAAGGACAGAUUAAUAAAAGUUGCAUUAUUUUGCUGUUCAUGUCUUCUUCCUACCAUCUUACUGACUUUCUAUUCAGCUGAGUGUGUGCCACGAUGCCGGUGUGAGAAGCAGCCAUGGGAAGGGAGCAGCAGAGCCUGAGAUGAGCCUGAGCUGAGCCUGAGCCCAGCCAAGCCCAGGCUGAGCAGACAGGAGCUGAGCCAAGCAUUGCUGGCCACAGUCAACCCCAGCAGUGCAGAAAGCAGGCCAGUACCACGGAGAGGAUUUUGGGGGUUUGUCCAUCAUUGUUUUUCGUUGCCUCAGGCUCAGGGAUGGGGAAUGCUAGCUGCAGGGUGUCCACCACCUUGUCUUUAUCUCAAGAAUAACUGUGAGCUGCUGCCAAGCUGGAGGAACGUCCCCCAUAUUUGUCUCAGCAGCCACGUGGAGCUAAACUGAGGUGUUAGUGAACACCUUUUGUGUGUAAUGAACCAUCUAUUCCAUAUACUUUUGUUACUAAUAUUGCCGCUGGUACUGUGCAUUUCUUAUUCCACUGCUGUUUGCUUUCACUAAAUUGUUGU